Molecule: ribosomal RNA, 207 nt
Filed under: uncultured bacterium
Lineage: Bacteria
Description: partial 16S ribosomal RNA
Rfam family: Bacterial small subunit ribosomal RNA
Source: RNAcentral
CAAGUAGGUGGUCUCAUUUGUCUGGGGUGAAAGCCUUGAGCUUAACUCAAGAAGUGCCCCGGAAACGGUGAGACUCGAGUACUGGAGAGGGUCGUGGAAUUCCCGGUGUAGCGGUGAAAUGCGUAGAGAUCGGGAGGAACACCUGAGGCGAAGGCGGCGACCUGGACAGUUACUGACACUCAACUGCGAAAGCGUGGGGAGCAAACA